Molecule: ribosomal RNA, 489 nt
Filed under: uncultured bacterium
Lineage: Bacteria
Description: bacterial SSU rRNA
Rfam family: Bacterial small subunit ribosomal RNA
Source: RNAcentral
AACGAACGCUGGCGGCGCGCCUAAUACAUGCAAGUCGAGCGAGAAAGUGUAGCAAUACACUUGUAAAGCGGCGAACGGGUGAGGAAUACAUGGGUAAUCUACCAUCGAGUGGGGAAUAACCAACCGAAAGGUUGGCUAAUACCGCGUACGCCUCCGAGUCUUCGGGUUCGGAGGGAAAGCUGCACUGUGAGUGUAGCGCUCUUUGAUGAGCUCAUGUCCUAUCAGCUUGUUGGUAGGGUAAUGGCCUACCAAGGCUUUGACGGGUAGCUGGUCUGAGAGGACGAUCAGCCACACUGGCACUGCGACACGGGCCAGACUCCUACGGGAGGCAGCAGUAAGGAAUAUUGCGCAAUGGGCGAAAGCCUGACGCAGCGACGCCGCGUGGGGGAUGAAGGUCUUCGGAUUGUAAACCCCUUUCGGGAGGGAAGAUGGAGCGAGCAAUCGUUCGGACGGUACCUCCAGAAGCAGCCACGGCCAACUUCGUGCCAG